This 68-nucleotide microRNA precursor is filed under the name Zootermopsis nevadensis. RNAcentral's name for it is "mir-219 microRNA precursor family". It matches the Rfam family "mir-219 microRNA precursor family". Rfam says of the family: The hairpin precursors (represented here) are predicted based on base pairing and cross-species conservation -- their extents are not known. In this case the mature sequence is excised from the 5' arm of the hairpin. Lineage: Eukaryota; Metazoa; Arthropoda; Insecta; Blattodea; Termopsidae. The record is from RNAcentral.
GGCAGUGAUUGUCCAAACGCAAUUCUUGUGUUCAGGAUAGUCAAGGGCUGUGUGUGGACAUCAAUGCU